AGUGGAUAGCUAGCGAUGUAUUAUAAAAGAAAAUUGUCCCAGCUUGCAUUUGGUGGACUGUGCGGGGAGAAAGAAACCAAGUUUGUUUGAAGACAAAGCCAUUAGUAUACAGAAACUAAAGAUGGAAUGUUUAGGGCUUUUCUUUUUUUGGUGUAACCAUAGCUUAAUGGAUGAUUUAGAAUCAACUUAUGAUGUACUAGAUUCCUUGUGAGAAGAUUAAGGAUUAGGAGCUUCUUCAUUUCUUUAUUUCUGUUCUUUUGCUCAUCUGGAUGUAUAUAUGGGGGAUUACACACCCUUUGU
RNAcentral lists this unclassified non-coding RNA (300 nucleotides) under Hevea brasiliensis (rubber tree). Lineage: Eukaryota; Viridiplantae; Streptophyta; Magnoliopsida; Malpighiales; Euphorbiaceae. The record is from RNAcentral.